This 394-nucleotide ribosomal RNA is filed under the name uncultured bacterium. Its description in RNAcentral is "bacterial SSU rRNA". It matches the Rfam family "Bacterial small subunit ribosomal RNA", at positions 28 to 417 of the family's 1533-position model. The record is from RNAcentral.
AUUGAACGCUGGCGGAAUGCUUUACACAUGCAAGUCGAGCGGCAGCGCGGGGGCAACCCUGGCGGCGAGCGGCGAACGGGUGAGUAAUACAUCGGAACGUGUCCUUCAAGUGGGGGAUAGCUCGGCGAAAGCCGGAUUAAUACCGCAUAAGCUCUGAGGAGGAAAGCGGGGGGACUGGUAACGGCCUCGCGCUGUUGGAGCGGCCGAUGUCGGAUUAGCUAGUUGGUGGGGUAGAGGCCCACCAAGGCGACGAUCCGUAGCUGGUCUGAGAGGAUGAUCAGCCACACUGGAACUGAGACACGGUCCAGACUCCUACGGGAGGCAGCAGGUGGGGUAAUUUUGGACAAGUGGGGGCAACCCUGAUCCAGCCAUUCCGCGUGAGUGAAGAAGGCCU